RNAcentral lists this non-coding RNA (24 nucleotides) under Arabidopsis thaliana (thale cress). Lineage: Eukaryota; Viridiplantae; Streptophyta; Magnoliopsida; Brassicales; Brassicaceae. The record is from RNAcentral.
AGAAAAGUGGCGAACCGUUUCUGG